Molecule: ribosomal RNA, 299 nt
Filed under: uncultured eukaryote
Lineage: Eukaryota
Description: partial large subunit ribosomal RNA
Rfam family: Eukaryotic large subunit ribosomal RNA
Source: RNAcentral
AUAUAACUAGGCGGAGGAAAAGAAACUAACCAGGAUUCCCUCAGUAACGGCGAGUGAAGCGGGAUGAGCUCAGAUUGAAAAGCUUCGGCAUUGUAAUCUGGAGAGGUCAAAUCAGCAAAGGCGGGAGGGUGAAGUGUGUUGGAAAACACUGCCGCAGAGGGUGAUAGCCCCGUUCAUGCCUUCUCGCUUAGCGUACGAUUGAUCUUCUACGAGUCGAGUUGUUUGGGAUUGCAGCUCUAAGUGGGUGGUAAAUUCCAUCUAAAGCUAAAUAUUGGUGGGAGACCGAUAGCGCACAAGUA